UGCAGUCGAGCGGUAGCACAGAGAGCUUGCUCUCGGGUGACGAGCGGCGGACGGGUGAGUAAUGUCUGGGAAACUGCCUGAUGGAGGGGGAUAACUACUGGAAACGGUAGCUAAUACCGCAUAACGUCGCAAGACCAAAGUGGGGGACCUUCGGGCCUCAUGCCAUCAGAUGUGCCCAGAUGGGAUUAGCUAGUAGGUGGGGUAAUGGCUCACCUAGGCGACGAUCCCUAGCUGGUCUGAGAGGAUGACCAGCCACACUGGAACUGAGACACGGUCCAGACUCCUACGGGAGGCAGCAGUGGGGAAUAUUGCACAAUGGGCGCAAGCCUGAUGCAGCCAUGCCGCGUGUAUGAAGAAGGCCUUCGGGUUGUAAAGUACUUUCAGCGAGGAGGAAGGCNUNAAGGUUAAUAACCUUGGUGAUUGACGUUACUCGCAGAAGAAGCACCGGCUAACUCCGUGCCAGCAGCCGCGGUAAUACGGAGGGUGCAAGCGUUAAUCGGAAUUACUGGGCGUAAAGCGCACGCAGGCGGUCUGUCAAGUCGGAUGUGAAAUCCCCGGGCUCAACCUGGGAACUGCAUUCGAAACUGGCAGGCUAGAGUCUUGUAGAGGGGGGUAGAAUUCCAGGUGUAGCGGUGAAAUGCGUAGAGAUCUGGAGGAAUACCGGUGGCGAAGGCGGCCCCCUGGACAAAGACUGACGCUCAGGUGCGAAAGCGUGGGGAGCAAACAGGAUUAGAUACCCUGGUAGUCCACGCCGUAAACGAUGUCGACUUGGAGGUUGUGCCCUUGAGGCGUGGCUUCCGGAGCUAACGCGUUAAGUCGACCGCCUGGGGAGUACGGCCGCAAGGUUAAAACUCAAAUGAAUUGACGGGGGCCCGCACAAGCGGUGGAGCAUGUGGUUUAAUUCGAUGCAACGCGAAGAACCUUACCUACUCUUGACAUCCAGAGAACUUAGCAGAGAUGCUUUGGUGCCUUCGGGAACUCUGAGACAGGUGCUGCAUGGCUGUCGUCAGCUCGUGUUGUGAAAUGUUGGGUUAAGUCCCGCAACGAGCGCAACCCUUAUCCUUUGUUGCCAGCGGUUCGGCCGGGAACUCAAAGGAGACUGCCAGUGAUAAACUGGAGGAAGGUGGGGAUGACGUCAAGUCAUCAUGGCCCUUACGAGUAGGGCUACACACGUGCUACAAUGGCAUAUACAAAGAGAAGCGACCUCGCGAGAGCAAGCGGACCUCAUAAAGUAUGUCGUAGUCCGGAUUGGAGUCUGCAACUCGACUCCAUGAAGUCGGAAUCGCUAGUAAUCGUAGAUCAGAAUGCUACGGUGAAUACGUUCCCGGGCCUUGUACACACCGCCCGUCACACCAUGGGAGUGGGUUGCAAAAGAAGUAGGUAGCUUAACCUUCGGGAGGGC
RNAcentral lists this ribosomal RNA (1402 nucleotides) under Klebsiella sp. RNAcentral describes it as "bacterial SSU rRNA". It matches the Rfam family "Bacterial small subunit ribosomal RNA". Lineage: Bacteria; Pseudomonadati; Pseudomonadota; Gammaproteobacteria; Enterobacterales; Enterobacteriaceae. The record is from RNAcentral.